GAGAGCCCGGUGCUCAGUAAUGGGCACGCCGGGUUCGGCGAGCGGCCUGGAGAAACGGACCGGCGGCAACACCGGCACCGCGCUCCAGGCCGACUCAAC
RNAcentral lists this non-coding RNA (99 nucleotides) under Saccharopolyspora spinosa. The record is from RNAcentral. Lineage: Bacteria; Bacillati; Actinomycetota; Actinomycetes; Pseudonocardiales; Pseudonocardiaceae.